UGCUCUUAUGAAGUUAGCGGCGGACGGGUGAGUAACACGUGGGUAACCUGCCCAUAAGACUGGGAUAACUCCGGGAAACCGGGGCUAAUACCGGAUAACAUUUUGAACCGCAUGUCUCGAAAUUGAAAGGCGGCUUCGGCUGUCACUUAUGGAUGGACCCGCGUCGCAUUAGCUAGUUGGUGAGGAAACGGCUCACCAAGGCAACGAUGCGUAGCCAACCUGAGAGGGUGAUCGGCCACACUGGGACUGAGACACAGCCCAAAACUUAAACGGGAGGCAGCAGUAGGGAAUCUUCCGCAAUGGACGAAAGUCUGACGGAGCAACGCCGCGUGAGUGAUGAAGGCUUUCGGGUCGUAAAACUCUGUUGUUAGGGAAGAACAAGUGCUAGUUGAAUAAGCUGGCACCUUGACGGUACCUAACCAGAAAGCCACGGCUAACUACGUGCCAGCAGCCGCGGUAAUACGUAGGUGGCAAGCGUUAUCCGGAAUUAUUGGGCGUAAAGCGCGCGCAGGUGGUUUCUUAAGUCUGAUGUGAAAGCCCACGGCUCAACCGUGGAGGGUCAUUGGAAACUGGGAGACUUGAGUGCAGAAGAGGAAAGUGGAAUUCCAUGUGUAGCGGUGAAAUGCGUAGAGAUAUGGAGGAACACCAGUGGCGAAGGCGACUUUCUGGUCUGUAACUGACACUGAGGCGCGAAAGCGGUGGGGAGCAAACAGGAUUAGAUACCCUGGUAGUCCACGCCGUAAACGAUGAGUGCUAAGUGUUAGAGGGUUUCCGCCUUUUAGUGCUGAAGUUAACGCAUUAAGCACUCCGCCUGGGGGAGUACGGCCGCAAGGCUGAAAACUCAAAGGAAUUGACGGGGGCCCGCACAAAGCGGUGGAGCAUGUGGUUUAAUUCGAAAGCAACGCGAAGAACCCUUACCAGGUCUUGACAUCCUCUGACAACCCUAGAGAUAGGGCUUCUCCUUCGGGAGCAGAUUGACAAGUGGUGCAUUGUUGUCGUCAGCUCGUGUCGUGAGAAGUUGGGUUAAGUCCCGCAACGAGCGCAACCCUUGAUCUUAGUUGCCAUCAUUUAGUUGGGCACCCUUAGGUGACUGCCGGUAACAAACCGGAGGAAGGUGGGGAUGACGCCAAA
This 1131-nucleotide ribosomal RNA is filed under the name Bacillus sp. mmam28. RNAcentral describes it as "bacterial SSU rRNA". It matches the Rfam family "Bacterial small subunit ribosomal RNA", at positions 79 to 1189 of the family's 1533-position model. The record is from RNAcentral. Lineage: Bacteria; Bacillati; Bacillota; Bacilli; Caryophanales; Bacillaceae.